Molecule: ribosomal RNA, 328 nt
Filed under: uncultured bacterium
Lineage: Bacteria
Description: bacterial SSU rRNA
Rfam family: Bacterial small subunit ribosomal RNA
Source: RNAcentral
CGCGUAGGUGGUAGUGAAAGUCUAUGGUGGAAUCUUAGGGCUUAACCCUAAAACUGCCUUGGAAACUUCAUUACUUGAGUCAGUGAGGGGAGGGUAGAAUUCCUGGUGUAGCGGUGAAAUGCGUAGAUAUCAGGAGGAAGGCCGGUGGCGAAGGCGGCCCUCUGGCGCUGAACUGACGCUGAGGCGCGAAAGCGUGGGUAGCAAACAGGAUUAGAUACCCUGGUAGUCCACGCCCUAAACGGUGGGUACUAGGUGUAGGGCUCGUAAGGGUUCUGUGCCGAAGGGAAACCAUUAAGUACCCGCCUGGGGAGUACGGCCGCAAGGUUGA